Molecule: ribosomal RNA, 253 nt
Filed under: uncultured bacterium
Lineage: Bacteria
Description: partial 16S ribosomal RNA
Rfam family: Bacterial small subunit ribosomal RNA
Source: RNAcentral
UACGUAGGGUGCGAGCGUUAAUCGGAAUCACUGGGCGUAAAGCGCGUGUAGGCGGCUCGAUAAGUCUGCUGUGAAAGUCCAAGGCUCAACCUUGGGAUGCCGGUGGAUACUGUCGAGCUCGAGUCCGGAAGAGGAGUGUGGAAUUCCUGGUGUAGCGGUGAAAUGCGCAGAUAUCAGGAGGAACACCAAUGGCGAAGGCAGCACUCUGGGACGUGACUGACGCUGAGACGCGAAAGCGUGGGGAGCAAACAGG